Molecule: ribosomal RNA, 440 nt
Filed under: uncultured bacterium
Lineage: Bacteria
Description: partial 16S ribosomal RNA
Rfam family: Bacterial small subunit ribosomal RNA
Source: RNAcentral
CCUACGGGAGGCAGCAGUGGGGAAUAUUGCACAAUGGGGGAAACCCUGAUGCAGCGACGCCGCGUGAAGGAAGAAGUAUUUCGGUAGGGAAACGUCUAGCAGCAGGGAAGAAAAUGACGGUACCUGACUAAGAAGCCCCGGCUAACGCCGUGCCAGCAGCCGCGGUAAUACGUAGGGGGCAAGCGUUAUCCGGAUUUACUGGGUGUAAAGGGAGCGUAGGCGGUUUAGCAAGUCAGAAGUGAAAGCCCGUGGCUCAACUCCGGGACUGCUUUUGAAACUGUUGAACUAGAUUGCAGGAGAGGUAAGUGGAAUUCCUAGUGUAGCGGUGAAAUGCGUAGAUAUUAGGAGGAACCCCAGUGGCGAAGGCGGCCUGCUGGGCUUUUACUGACGCUGAGGCUCGAAAGCGUGGGUAGCAAACAGGAUUCGAUACCCCUGUAGUC